Molecule: ribosomal RNA, 850 nt
Filed under: Ganoderma sp.
Lineage: Eukaryota; Fungi; Basidiomycota; Agaricomycetes; Polyporales; Polyporaceae
Description: partial large subunit ribosomal RNA
Rfam family: Eukaryotic large subunit ribosomal RNA
Source: RNAcentral
UCCCCUAGUAACUGCGAGUGAAGCGGGAAAAGCUCAAAUUUAAAAUCUGGCAGUCUUUUGGCUGUCCGAGUUGUAGUCUGGAGAAGUGCUUUCCGCGCUGGACCGUGUAUAAGUCUCUUGGAACAGAGCGUCAUAGAGGGUGAGAAUCCCGUCUUUGACACGGACUACCAGUGCUUUGUGAUGCGCUCUCAAAGAGUCGAGUUGUUUGGGAAUGCAGCUCAAAAUGGGUGGUGAAUUCCAUCUAAAGCUAAAUAUUGGCGAGAGACCGAUAGCGAACAAGUACCGUGAGGGAAAGAUGAAAAGCACUUUGGAAAGAGAGUUAAACAGUACGUGAAAUUGCUGAAAGGGAAACGCUUGAAGUCAGUCGCGUCGUCCGGAACUCAGCCUUGCUUUUGCUUGGUGCACUUUCCGGUUGACGGGUCAGCAUCGAUUUUGACCGUCGGAAAAGGGCUGGAGUAAUGUGGCACCUCCGGGUGUGUUAUAGACUCUGGUCGCAUACGGCGGUUGGGAUCGAGGAACGCAGCGCGCCGUAAGGCAGGGGUUCGCCCACUUUCGCGCUUAGGAUGCUGGCAUAAUGGCUUUAAACGACCCGUCUUGAAACACGGACCAAGGAGUCUAACAUACCUGCGAGUGUUUGGGUGGAAAACCCGAGCGCGUAAUGAAAGUGAAAGUUGAGACCCCUGUCGUGGGGGGCAUCGACGCCCGGACCUGACGUUCUCUGAAGGAUCCGCGGUAGAGCAUGUAUGUUGGGACCCGAAAGAUGGUGAACUAUGCCUGAAUAGGGUGAAGCCAGAGGAAACUCUGGUGGAGGCUCGUAGCGAUUCUGACGUGCAAAUCGAUCGUCAAAUUU